Non-coding RNA from Vicia faba (fava bean), 315 nucleotides. NCBI's taxonomy places the organism in Eukaryota, Viridiplantae, Streptophyta, Magnoliopsida, Fabales, Fabaceae. The record is from the annotation of a GenBank genome assembly.
AACAAAGUUUAUCAUGAACCUAAAUUCGUCUCAUCUAAGUAUCACCAUCAUUUUCAAGUAAAACAUUGCAAGUUAUCAUCUUUUAAUUCAUCAAAGGAUUAUCUUCAAGAAUACAAUCAAACUUAUAAAAUGGUGAACUUCACAAAUUGUUCAUGUCUCAUCAUCUUAUUACAAGUUGGAAUGCUUCAAGAAAAGGAAGAAAUUGCAAGAUCACUUACAAGAUUACAAGUUGAAAUUUAUUAUCAAUCAAAACAUAAACCUUCAAGGAUUACUUCAAAUAAAAUUUACAAUCAAAUUACAAAGGGAACAUUCUAA